Molecule: ribosomal RNA, 492 nt
Filed under: uncultured bacterium
Lineage: Bacteria
Description: partial 16S ribosomal RNA
Rfam family: Bacterial small subunit ribosomal RNA
Source: RNAcentral
AGUGAACGCUGGCGGCAGGCCUAACACAUGCAGGUCGAACGGCAGCACAGUAAGAGCUUGCUCUUACGGGUGGCGAGUGGCGGACGGGUGAGGAAUACAUCGGAAUCUACUUUUACGUGGGGGAUAACGUAGGGAAACUUACGCUAAUACCGCAUACGACCUACGGGUGAAAGCAGGGGAUCUUCGGACCUUGCGCGAUUGAAUGAGCCGAUGUCGGAUUAGCUAGUUGGCGGGGUAAAGGCCCACCAAGGCGACGAUCCGUAGCUGGUCUGAGAGGAUGAUCAGCCACACUGGAACUGAGACACGGUCCAGACUCCUACAGGAGGCAGCAGUGGGGAAUAUUGCGCGAUGGGCGCAAGCCUGAUCCAGCCAUACCGCGUGGGUGAAGAAGGCCUUCGGGUUGUAAAGCCCUUUUGUUGGGAAAGAAAAGCAGCAGGUUAAUCCCCCACUGUUCUGACGGUACCCAAAGAAUAAGCACCGGCUAACUUCGUG